CAGCCCUUGACAUGUCCCGUAUGGAUUUCAGAGAUGAGGUCCUUCAGUUCGGCUGGCGGGAACACAGGUGCUGCAUGGCUGUCGUCAGCUCGUGUCGUGAGAUGUUGGGUUAAGUCCCGCAACGAGCGCAACCCUCGGCCUUAGUUGCCAUCAUUUAGUUGGGCACUCUAAGGCGACUGCCGGUGAUAAGCCGGAGGAAGGUGGGGAUGACGUCAAGUCCUCAUGGCCCUUACGGGCUGGGCUACACACGUGCUACAAUGGCGGUGACAGAGGGAUGCAAUAGGGCAACCUUUCGCAAAUCUCGAAAAACCGUCUCAGUUCGGAUUGGGGUCUGCAACUCGACCCCAUGAAGUUGGAAUCGCUAGUAAUCGCGGAUCAGCACGCCGCGGUGAAUACGUUCCC
This 402-nucleotide ribosomal RNA is filed under the name uncultured bacterium. Its description in RNAcentral is "bacterial SSU rRNA". It matches the Rfam family "Bacterial small subunit ribosomal RNA", at positions 975 to 1375 of the family's 1533-position model. The record is from RNAcentral.